CUCUUAACUUUGCCUACAAUUUAAUGAUCAACUUUUAUCCUAGCAAAACUUCAAACCCCUUUCAAAUAGGUAGAUCGAAAAUGUCAUAGCUAGGAGAAAGGAACAUUCCAGGUCUAAGCUCAUCCAAAGCACCAUCAAUCCGUUAAUACUAAAUUUAAGAUGCUCAAAAUCUCCCAGGAAUUGCCAACAAUAGAAAAACUC
Molecule: long non-coding RNA, 201 nt
Filed under: Phoenix dactylifera (date palm)
Lineage: Eukaryota; Viridiplantae; Streptophyta; Magnoliopsida; Arecales; Arecaceae
Description: long non-coding RNA (PDAC_LNC015379)
Source: RNAcentral